This 109-nucleotide ribosomal RNA is filed under the name Neogale vison (American mink). Lineage: Eukaryota; Metazoa; Chordata; Mammalia; Carnivora; Mustelidae. The record is from RNAcentral.
GUCUAUGGCCAUACCACCCUGAAUGCGCCCAGUCUUGUCUGAUCUCGGAAGCUAAGCAGGGUCAGGCCUGGUUAGUACUUGGAGCGGAAAGACUAAAGGAUCAUUGAAA